UACAACCUACCCUUCAGAGGGGGACAACAGUUGGAAACGACUGCUAAUACCGCAUACGAUCUAACCUCGGCAUCGAGGAUGGACGAAAGGUGGCCUCUAUUUAUAAGCUAUCACUGAAGGAGGGGAUUGCGUCUGAUUAGCUAGUUGGAGGGGUAACGGCCCACCAAGGCGAUGAUCAGUAGCCGGUCUGAGAGGAUGAACGGCCACAUUGGGACUGAGACACGGCCCAG
This 230-nucleotide ribosomal RNA is filed under the name uncultured bacterium. RNAcentral's name for it is "partial 16S ribosomal RNA". It matches the Rfam family "Bacterial small subunit ribosomal RNA", at positions 120 to 334 of the family's 1533-position model. The record is from RNAcentral.